Molecule: long non-coding RNA, 1914 nt
Organism: Oryzias latipes (Japanese medaka)
Lineage: Eukaryota; Metazoa; Chordata; Actinopteri; Beloniformes; Adrianichthyidae
Source: RefSeq, a predicted model, not a curated record
GCAAUAACAAAAGUUUUGCGUUUAUAUUUUUCGUCAGUGUAUGAACUCUGUCUACACCAUUCUUCUCCUAAAGCUGGAGAAAGACCCCCCGCCCCCCCAGUCUUCUAGCUACCAUCCCAUCUCUGAUCAAUGCGGAUCUUAAGCUGCGUUCAUACCAAGCAUGAUUUGCGCUGCAGAUUUGCGGCAGAUGCCUCUCUAUUUCGCCCUGCAGCAAAUUCUCUGCUCACCUCCUGCCCAAAAAUCGCUUGGCCGCGUGUGGGAGGAACAACCAUUGUGUACUACAAUAUUUUUAGCCUGAUCGCUACAUGGAGUGGUGUCUGUGUUUAUCUAAUUUAAAAUGCAAGAAAGACACAGAUGAUGUUAAGAGAUCAGAGUUGUUUAUUUUGAAGAUUUCUACAAAAACAUUAGUAAUGAUCACGUAGUAAUGAUAGUUGAGGUAUACCUAUGAUGAAAGUUACAGGCCCCUUUCAUCUUUUUAAGUUGGAGAACUUGCACAAGUGGUGGCUGACUAAAUACUUUUUGCCCCAAAUACCUUAUUGUCCGCACUGUAGGGCACACUUAAAAGCAUUCAUUUUUUUCAAAAGACAGCAGUGCGCCUUGUAAUCCAGAGUGCGUAAAUAAACUGGUUGUGUUUUUCUGAUGUCGAAGAGAUUUUAAAAGAUGCACGGAGCUCUGUCAAAAUGUUUGUUGUGUGAUAUUUCUAACGUAGAGCUGUGUAUGACUGUUAUUUUAUGUGUUACAAGGUUGAGAGUUAGCAUAGUCACAGUAACAUUUGUUUCAGCUCAAUCAGUUUUUAUAAGUGUUGCAAAAAAGAUAUUGUAAUAAAGCUAACAUGGCUAAUGUGUACUGAGUUAAUAAUAAUAAUAAUUAAUAAUAAAAUAUUUGAUACUUUAUUUAUCCCACAAUGGGGAAAUUCUUCUCCGCAUUUUGACCCAUCCCCUAUGGAGAGCGGUAAGCUGCAGACUAGCCAUGUUCGGGGGGCGACAGCUGGCUGGGGAUCCGCCAACCCUUUAGUUGUUGGACGACCUGCUCUACCGCCUGAGCUAAACUGAACUUAAAAACAAGUUCUAGCGUUACUUGAACGCAGUUAUUAAUGUCUGGCUGACUUUUUUGUUCUGCUUAAUGCCCCUUUUGGUGUGCCUUAUGAAAUAAGUUUCAAAAUAGCCCAUCUACUAUAGGGCACGCCUUGUCAUGCAAAAUAUACUUUCAAUGCUAAAAGGCUUGGAACAUUUUGCACCAAUGAAAUAAUGAUUUUUUUAUUGUUAAAUUAUUGAUAGACAAGUUUAGAUUAUCAGUAGAAAUAUAGAUAGGGAUUAUUAUAGUAAGGGUCAAUGGUUGCAGGUUGAAUCUGCCCAAAAUUUGCAGAAAUCAACCUUUUUUCAUAUAUUUUUCAGGGCAGAGUUGGCAUCAGACAGACCUUUUUUGUGAUGGCAAGAAGGCACACCAUUUACAGAAUUCCGCCAAUUUUCCCUCUGUGUGAUAAUAAGCUGUUGCUGUCAUGGUACCCCCAGGAGUCCUCUACUGCCCCUCCCUUCUCUGCUUCCUCCUUUAUUGGACCCAGCUGUCGGCAUUCACCUCAUCAUCUGCACCUGUAUUUAAGACGACUCCAGACCAGUAUUCAUCGCCAGUUUGUUUGCCCUCUAUGAAUUCUCGCAUCCGUCCACGCCGACCUGGGUCCAGCCACAAGACCAUCAGCCUCAAGUCUGUAUUCCAGCUCCUCAAAAUUCCAGCACUCUAACUCCAUCCUGCCUUCAAGCCCGUUCCUCGCAAAUCAAGCUCCACUAGAGAGAAGUCGCUCCAGCUCGGCUCCAACAUCCUCCUCAGCAUCUGGCAUCUCCUGCUCCGGUGACAUCUUCGCCACUAGUCUCCCAGUGAUCAAAGACUUGUCAAAAUUAAAUCCAUUCUCGCCACUUC